RNAcentral lists this ribosomal RNA (295 nucleotides) under uncultured bacterium. Its description in RNAcentral is "partial 16S ribosomal RNA". It matches the Rfam family "Bacterial small subunit ribosomal RNA", at positions 28 to 334 of the family's 1533-position model. The record is from RNAcentral.
GGUGAACGCUAGCGGUGCGCCUAACACAUGCAAGUCGAGCGGUAGAAUUGAUAGCUUGCUAUUAAUUUGAGAGCGGCGAACGGGUGAGUAACAUGUUGAAAUUCUGCCCCCAAGUCAGGGAUAGCCAUUGGAAACGAUGAUUAAUACCGGAUGUGCUCUACGGAGUAAAGAUUUAUCGCUUGGGGAGGAGUCUACAUUCUAUCAGCUAGUUGGUAAGGUAAAAGCUUACCAAGGCAAUGACGGAUAGCUGGUCUGAGAGGAUGAUCAGCCACAAUGAAACUGAGACACGGUUCAU